GGAGUCUGGGCCGUAUCUCAGUCCCAGUGUGGCCGGACACCCUCUCAGGCCGGCUACCCGUCGUCGCCUUGGUGAGCCGUUACCUCACCAACUAGCUGAUAGGGCACGAGCACCUCCAGUGGCGCAUUGCUGCUUUAACCUUUCGGCCUAUGGGGUAUUAGCGUCCAUUUCUAGACGUUGUCCCCCACCACAGGACAGCUUCUCAUGUUGUACUCACCCGUCCGCUGCUCCGCUCGUACUUUCCAUGUUGCCACUUCAAGCACGUCGUCGCUCAACUUGCAUGUGUUACGCACGCCGCCAGCGUUCAUC
Molecule: ribosomal RNA, 309 nt
Filed under: uncultured Synergistales bacterium
Lineage: Bacteria; Thermotogati; Synergistota; Synergistia; Synergistales
Description: partial 16S ribosomal RNA
Source: RNAcentral